GUAAUGACAGUCAUACGUCAUUUCAUGACGACAGACUCAACGCGACGCUGUCAUUAUUUUUACGUUGGCUAUAGGGCGCUUAACUUAAUGGAAAAAAAAAGGCAGGGGGUCACUUUAAAUGUAAUUCACGAAAUCAGAGGUAGACUAGUAAAAAAAUAUUUCACCGCUGAUCAGGGUUGCCAGGUUUUCACAGCAAAACCCGCCCAAAUACUACACGAAUCGCUAUUUGGGGCGGGGGGGAUUGGGUAUUGUCUGGGUUUCUUGAAAGUAUCCCAAUUCUGCUGAUUCAUUUCCCACCUAAAAAUGCGGCACUGAAGAGUUUACCGUAUCUAAAGUCACCCCUGCGUUCGUGUCGUGAAGACACCGGGAUGCCAACGUGAGCAAAACAACCUACGUCUUCUGAGGGGCAUGUUUUCCUGAGGGCCAUGAAGUGACAGACAACUGACUACAGUCCCCAGACCUAAUUCAAUAUGGAAAUAAGCAGGGAGUUGGAUGUAUUUGCCAAAUGAUCAAGUAAACUGGAUUGUCCUGGAAGACUAAGACUAGACUCAGCACUUCCCAGACCUAAUUAAUUACAGAGGGUGGAGUUGGAGGAUGGAUGCCAGAGGAGCUGUCUAAGGAGUAAGAACCAGAACAAGCCAACCCGUCCCCUGUGUGGUGUCGUCCUCCUCUUCUCCUCCUCCUUUGGUCUUCUGUUCCUUCGCCCUGUAUUUCCCUCCCUCUGAUGGAUCCGGCCGCCCCGGUGCGCCACCAGACCAAAAAGCGAAAAGGGCAAGAAAUUUGUCACCUUCCCCAACAAGACCCUCACCAGACAAAAGAACAACGGCAUUAAUCAUCUGACAUUUCAAUAUUGUAUUACCCUUUCUAGUGAAAAUCAAGGGGGUCAUUAAACUGGUAAAAGGAGACGGGGUGCAGAUCAAUAGAACAAGCCUCGAACAGAACCUUGAGCUUUACUGCCGUCUGCAGAUUCACAGCUGCUGUCAGUAGGUAUGAUAGGAGACAGCCUUAACUAAUUACCUCUACGUGAAGGGCAUGAAGUGGCGUUCAAUGCAUUGAUGGCAGCAGUGAAGAGAACACUUAAUCAGCAGGCAAUGAAUAUAAACAGGCAAAGACCACCGGAGGGGAGCCCCUUGUUUGUGGUGCUGUUCUUGAUGAGAGCCGAUGGUAGCGUGAGGUUUUGUGUCUGUAAAAACAACACACAGCCGAAUUGCGUAGAGUAUGUUGAAAUGCUUUAGACGAGGGGAGAGUUUGAGAAUGUGCCCUCCGAGUGCUUUCAUGUUCUGCUUUUAGUACGUGGCACAGGGAAAGUUUUUCUUCGAGGAUGAAUUAAAAGGAGCGACAGGCUAAUAGGGAGAGAUACCUCAGUCGUUUCUCUUCGCUUUCACGAGCCUCUCCUGGCCGUUCACCCGUGUCUUCGUCAUUCAUCAUCCUGCAAUCGCGGCGUGUCUGUUCAGCAGGUCGUUUAACUACGAAAACAUGCCAAUUUAGCCUGUUUGUGUGUUCGCGGACAACUUCAAACGCUGUUUGGACAUGGUCAGUCAUCGUGCCGUUUCGGUUUGGUAGCUGUCAGAGUUCAGGUCUGUGAUUGUGGAGCUCUUAACAAAACAAAGUGAUUAAAGA
Puntigrus tetrazona (Sumatra barb) is the source of this 1620-nucleotide long non-coding RNA. RefSeq lists it as uncharacterized. Lineage: Eukaryota; Metazoa; Chordata; Actinopteri; Cypriniformes; Cyprinidae. The record is from RefSeq and is a predicted model, not a curated record. The transcript has 5 exons.